GAUGAACGCUGGCGGCGUGCCUAAUACAUGCAAGUCGAGCGAACAGACGAGGAGCUUGCUCCUCUGACGUUAGCGGCGGACGGGUGAGUAACACGUGGAUAACCUACCUAUAAGACUGGGAUAACUUCGGGAAACCGGAGCUAAUACCGGAUAAUAUAUUGAACCGCAUGGUUCAAUAGUGAAAGACGGUUUUGCUGUCACUUAUAGAUGGAUCCGCGCCGCAUUAGCUAGUUGGUAAGGUAACGGCUUACCAAGGCAACGAUGCGUAGCCGACCUGAGAGGGUGUUCGGCCACACUGGAACUGAGACCCGGUCCAGACUCCUAGGGGAGGCAGCGGUGGGGAAUCUUCCGAAAUGGGCGAAAGCCUGACGGAGCAACGCCGGGUGGGUGAUGAAGUUCUUCGGAUCGUAAAACGCUGUUAUUGGGGAAAAACAAAUGUGUAAGUAACUAUGCACGUCUUAACGGUACCUAAGCAGAAGGCCCCGGCUAACUACGU
RNAcentral lists this ribosomal RNA (496 nucleotides) under uncultured bacterium. Its description in RNAcentral is "partial 16S ribosomal RNA". It matches the Rfam family "Bacterial small subunit ribosomal RNA", at positions 28 to 506 of the family's 1533-position model. The record is from RNAcentral.